Molecule: long non-coding RNA, 482 nt
Filed under: Malus domestica (apple)
Lineage: Eukaryota; Viridiplantae; Streptophyta; Magnoliopsida; Rosales; Rosaceae
Description: long non-coding RNA (MDOM_LNC016539)
Source: RNAcentral
AGGGUGUUUGAAUGGAUUAUGACUCCUAGAAUUAGAUGGGAAGUAUUUAGAAUAGGAUAAUGACUCUUUUUGUAGCUGGAGAUAAUAUGAGAUAAUGUUGGAUAAAGUAGGAUAAUGUUUGGAUAAGGUAAGAUAAGAUUAUGUCUUUCCUUGUGUUCUAAGCUUCCAAAUUUGAUUCCUCUAUAUUUUAGCACAUAUUUAACACAUGUAAAACAUGCAUGCUCCACACGCAUGUAAAAAACGUCCAGCCCCACUGCUCCACACGCAUGUUAUCCAAUCCAAGUCCAAAACUACUCCAAAUUGCUCCAUUUAGCCAUUUAUUGUCAUCUUUACCAAUUGGACCUACAAUAAUAUGAUAAUAACUUAAAUUAAGAUAACAAAGUCACAUAAAUAUGCUCCUAUCAAUAACCUUCAACGUGAGCCGUGACAUACAAUGGCUUAAAAUGUUGAAGAUUAACCGAAGACGAGCGGGGAAACAGUAC